RNAcentral lists this ribosomal RNA (278 nucleotides) under uncultured Alloprevotella sp. RNAcentral describes it as "partial 16S ribosomal RNA". It matches the Rfam family "Bacterial small subunit ribosomal RNA", at positions 511 to 788 of the family's 1533-position model. The record is from RNAcentral. Lineage: Bacteria; Pseudomonadati; Bacteroidota; Bacteroidia; Bacteroidales; Prevotellaceae.
GCAGCCGCGGUAAUACGGAAGGUCCGGGCGUUAUCCGGAUUUAUUGGGUUUAAAGGGAGCGUAGGCGGGCUAUUAAGUCAGCUGUGAAAUCCGGCGGCUCAACCGUCGGCCUGCAGUUGAUACUGGUGGUCUUGAGUGCGCGCAGGGGUGUUGGAAUUCAUGGUGUAGCGGUGAAAUGCUCAGAUAUCAUGAAGAACUCCGAUCGCGAAGGCAGAUGCCCGGAGCGCAACUGACGCUGAGGCUCGAAAGUGCGGGUAUCAAACAGGAUUAGAUACCCC